This 435-nucleotide ribosomal RNA is filed under the name uncultured Alphaproteobacteria bacterium. Its description in RNAcentral is "bacterial SSU rRNA". It matches the Rfam family "Bacterial small subunit ribosomal RNA", at positions 8 to 489 of the family's 1533-position model. The record is from RNAcentral. Lineage: Bacteria; Pseudomonadati; Pseudomonadota; Alphaproteobacteria.
AGAGUUUGUCCUGGCUCAGAGCGAACGCUGGCGGCAGGCCUAACACAUGCAAGUCGAACGGGCACCUUCGGGUGUCAGUGGCAGACGGGUGAGUAACACGUGGGAACGUGCCCUUCGGUUCGGAAUAACCCAGGGAAACUUGGGCUAAUACCGGAUACGUCCGAGAGGAGAAAGAUUUAUCGCCGAAGGAUCGGCCCGCGUCUGAUUAGCUUGUUGGUGAGGUAACGGCUCACCUAGGCGACGAUCAGUAGCUGGUCUGAGAGGAUGAUCAGCCACACUGGGACUGAGACACGGCCCAGACUCCUACGGGAGGCAGCAGUGGGGAAUAUUGGACAAUGGGCGAAAGCCUGAUCCAGCCAUGCCGCGUGAGUGAUGAAGGCCCUAGGGUUGUAAAGCUCUUUCGGCGGGGACGAUAAUGACGGACCCGCAGAAGAG